This is a non-coding RNA of Acanthosepion pharaonis, 113 nucleotides long. The record is from the annotation of a GenBank genome assembly. NCBI's taxonomy places the organism in Eukaryota, Metazoa, Mollusca, Cephalopoda, Sepiida, Sepiidae.
UGGUGGCUAUAUCUUGUUAAAACACUUGUCCCAUCCAAUCCCCAAAGUUAAGCAGUGUUGAAAUUGGUCAGUACCUACAUGAGUGACCACUUGGGAAUAUCAGGUGCUGUAAG